GAUGAACGCUGGCGGCGUGCCUAAUACAUGCAAGUCGAGCGAACAGACGAGGAGCUUGCUCCUCUGACGUUAGCGGCGGACGGGUGAGUAACACGUGGAUAACCUACCUAUAAGACUGGGAUAACUUCGGGAAACCGGAGCUAAUACCGGAUAAUAUAUUGAACCGCAUGGAUCAAUAGUGAAAGACGGUUUUGCUGUCACUUAUAGAUGGAUCCGCGCCGCAUUAGCUAGUUGGUAAGGUAACGGCUUACCAAGGCGACGAUGCGUAGCCGACCUGAGAGGGUGAUCGGCCACACUGGAACUGAGACACGGUCCAGACUCCUACGGGAGGCAGCAGUAGGGAAUUUUCCGCAAUGGGCGAAAGCCUGACGGAGCAACGCCGCGUGAGUGAUGAAGGUCUUCGGAUCGUAAAACUCUGUUAUUAGGGAAGAACAAAUGUGUAAGUAACUAUGCACGUCUUGACGGUACCUAAUCAGAAAGCCACGGCUAACUACGUG
Molecule: ribosomal RNA, 497 nt
Filed under: uncultured bacterium
Lineage: Bacteria
Description: partial 16S ribosomal RNA
Rfam family: Bacterial small subunit ribosomal RNA
Source: RNAcentral